GACGAACGCUGGCGGCGUGCCUAAUACAUGCAAGUUGAGCGAUGAAGAUUGGUGCUUGCACCAAUUUGAAGAGCAGCGAACGGGUGAGUAACGCGUGGGGAAUCUGCCUUUGAGCGGGGGACAACAUUUGGAAACGAAUGCUAAUACCGCAUAAUAACUUUAAACAUAAGUUUUAAGUUUGAAAGAUGCAAUUGCAUCACUCAAAGAUGAUCCCGCGUUGUAUUGGCUAGUUGGUGAGGUAAAGGCUCACCAAGGCGAUGAUACAUAGCCGACCUGAGAGGGUGAUCGGCCACAUUGGGACUGAGACACGGCCCAAACUCCUACGGGAGGCAGCAGUAGGGAAGCUUCGGCAAUGGACGAAAGUCUGACCGAGCAACGCCGCGUGAGUGAAGAAGGUUUUCGGAUCGUAAAACUCUGUUGGUAGAGAAGAACGUUGGUGAGAGUGGAAAGCUCAUCAAGUGACGGUAACUACCCAGAAAGGGACGGCUAACUACGUG
This 497-nucleotide ribosomal RNA is filed under the name uncultured bacterium. RNAcentral's name for it is "partial 16S ribosomal RNA". It matches the Rfam family "Bacterial small subunit ribosomal RNA", at positions 28 to 507 of the family's 1533-position model. The record is from RNAcentral.